UACGAAGGGAGCUAGCGUUGUUCGGAAUUACUGGGCGUAAAGGGCGCGUAGGCGGUUUAGCAAGUUGGAUGUGAAAGCCCAGGGCUCAACCCUGGAAUUGCAUUCAAGACUGUUUUACUUGAAUUCGGUAGAGGUGAGUGGAAUUCCCAGUGUAGAGGUGAAAUUCGUAGAGAUUGGGAAGAACACCGGUGGCGAAGGCGGCUCACUGGACCGACAUUGACGCUGAGGCGCGAAAGCGUGGGGAUCAAACAGG
RNAcentral lists this ribosomal RNA (253 nucleotides) under uncultured bacterium. RNAcentral's name for it is "partial 16S ribosomal RNA". It matches the Rfam family "Bacterial small subunit ribosomal RNA", at positions 524 to 776 of the family's 1533-position model. The record is from RNAcentral.